UUGGAGGGCAAGUCUGGUGCCAGCAGCCGCGGUAAUUCCAGCUCCAAUAGCGUAUAUUAAAGUUGUUGCAGUUAAAAAGCUCGUAGUUGAAUUUCGAGAUCAAAUUGUUGGUCGUGCCUCGGUACGUACUGGCAUUAUUGAUUUCUCCCUUCUGAAGAACCGCGAUGUCAUUAAUUUGGUGUCGUGGGGAAUCAGGACUGUUACUUUGAAAAAAUUAGAGUGUUUAAAGCAGGCUCACGCUUGAAUACAUUAGCAUGGAAUAAUGAAAUAGGACGUUUGAUUCUAUUUUGUUGGUUUCUAGGAUCGACGUAAUGAUUAAUAGGGAUAGUUGGGGGCAUUAGUAUUCAAUUGUCAGAGGUGAAAUUCUUGGAUUUAUUGAAGACUAACUACUGCGAAAGCAUUUGCCAAGGAUGUUUACAUUAAUCAAGAACGAAAGUUAGGGGAUCGAAGACGAUCAGAUACCGUCGUAGUCUUAACCAUAAACUAUGCCGACUAGGGAUCGGAUGAUGUUAAUUUUUUAAUGACUCAUUCGGCGCCUUACGGGAAAC
This 548-nucleotide ribosomal RNA is filed under the name uncultured Glomeromycotina. RNAcentral's name for it is "SSU rRNA". It matches the Rfam family "Eukaryotic small subunit ribosomal RNA", at positions 548 to 1098 of the family's 1831-position model. The record is from RNAcentral. Lineage: Eukaryota; Fungi; Glomeromycota.